Vidua macroura (Pin-tailed whydah) is the source of this 962-nucleotide long non-coding RNA. RefSeq lists it as uncharacterized. The transcript is spliced from 3 exons. NCBI's taxonomy places the organism in Eukaryota, Metazoa, Chordata, Aves, Passeriformes, Viduidae. The record is from RefSeq and is a predicted model, not a curated record.
AGAGGACUUCCAAAUCAAGACAAAGUUGUCAAAUUUUGCAUUGGAUUGAAUGAAAACAAUAUAUCCAUCACUACUACUUAACAAUAUGAAAGUCAUUGGCUCUUCUGGAACUGGUACUCUAACAUACCACACAAGAAACACUCUGGCAAGAGAAAACUAAAGGCCAGCUCUUAAGAAAUUACCCAUUUGACAGAAGAACAGACUGAACAUAAUGCAUGCCCACCAAGAGCUACCACUUUAACUCAAGAAAAUGGAGAAGUAUCAUACUAUAGUGUUCAACAUAGAAAAACUGGUGGAAAACAGGAUUAGCAAGACACAAAAAUAUUUUCCUUUAAACAUUUGUUUUCUAAACCCAGUGGCACUUCAGAGCUGAUGGUUACAGAUAAGUACAGAAGAACAUAAAUAAAGAAUCCCAUAAUCCAGUGAGGAUUAACAGGUCAGAAUUAAAUUAAUCUUGAGUAAUAGACACAUUUCAUCUUUUUUAGUGAAAAAAUACAUUAAAACUGAAUUAAAAAGCUUCCUUCUCCUUUCUCAGUAACAAUGAAUAAACCAGGGAAAACUUUGCUGAAGCCAGUAACAUUAGAAAGCAAGAGAUAAAAAUAUUUUUAAUCUCUUUCUGCUGUCUGCAACCUUCCCUUGUGAAUAUAUUUGGAAUAGUGAAGUCUCAACUGUCAAAGAGUUAGUUUCUUAGCUCUAAAUCUUGAUUAAAAUCUAAAAUUUUUCAAGCUUGGUUUAUUAUCCCUUAUUUUCACAUAAAAACUAACACUUCCAGGGAGACACUACCUGCAAAUUUGCCCUCCCACAAACACUAGCAAGCAUUUUCAUAUGCAUCCUUUCCUUGUGACUUACAAGUAUUGAUUGAAUAAUUCUGUCCUUCAUUUAUUUGGUUUUGAAAAGAUGUAUUUUGCAUCUGCAGUCUGUCCUUUCAUUCUGUUCCAUUGUGUAGCCUUUUUGUCAUCAGU